ACUAUUUUGACAGAUUUAAUGUAUUAAUUUUAGGAAUUAAUUAUAUAUGUUUACUUAACAUAUAAGUAGUA
This 71-nucleotide transfer RNA is filed under the name Stenopsyche navasi. Its description in RNAcentral is "tRNA-Leu". The record is from RNAcentral. Lineage: Eukaryota; Metazoa; Arthropoda; Insecta; Trichoptera; Stenopsychidae.